This 377-nucleotide ribosomal RNA is filed under the name uncultured bacterium. RNAcentral's name for it is "bacterial SSU rRNA". It matches the Rfam family "Bacterial small subunit ribosomal RNA", at positions 523 to 898 of the family's 1533-position model. The record is from RNAcentral.
ACACGUAGGUGGCGAGCGUUGUCCGGAAUUACUGGGUGUAAAGGGCGUGUAGGCGGGGCAGCAAGUCAGAUGUGAAAUACCGGGGCUCAACCCCGGGGCUGCAUUUGAAACUGCAGUUCUUGAGUGCAGGAGAGGGAAGCGGAAUUCCUAGUGUAGCGGUGAAAUGCGUAGAUAUUAGGAGGAACACCAGUGGCGAAGGCGGCUUCCUGGACUGUAACUGACGCUGAGGCGCGAAAGCGUGGGUAGCGAACAGGAUUAGAUACCCUGGUAGUCCACGCCGUAAACGAUGGAUACUAGGUGUAGGAGGUAUCGACCCCUUCUGUGCCGGAGUUAACACAAUAAGUAUCCCACCUGGGGAGUACGACCGCAAGGUUGAA